This 512-nucleotide ribosomal RNA is filed under the name uncultured bacterium. RNAcentral describes it as "bacterial SSU rRNA". It matches the Rfam family "Bacterial small subunit ribosomal RNA", at positions 1 to 507 of the family's 1533-position model. The record is from RNAcentral.
AGUACAGACGAGUUUGAUCCUGGCUCAGAUUGAACGCUGGCGGCAUGCUUUACACAUGCAAGUCGAACGGUAACAGGCCUUCGGGUGCUGACGAGUGGCGAACGGGUGAGUAAUGCAUCGGAACAUACCCAGUCGGUGGGGGAUAACGUAGCGAAAGUUACGCUAAUACCGCAUACGUCCUGAGGGAGAAAGCGGGGGAUCGCAAGACCUCGCGCGAUUGGAGUGGCCGAUGUCAGAUUAGCUAGUUGGUGGGGUAAAGGCCCACCAAGGCGACGAUCUGUAGCGGGUCUGAGAGGAUGAUCCGCCACACUGGGACUGAGACACGGCCCAGACUCCUACGGGAGGCAGCAGGUGGGGAAUUUUGGACAAUGGGGGAAACCCUGAUCCAGCCAUGCCGCGUGCGGGAAGAAGGCCUUCGGGUUGUAAACCGCUUUCAGCCGGAAAGAAAUCGCACGGACCAAUACUCUGUGUGGAUGACGGUACCGGAAGAAGAAGCACCGGCUAACUACGUG